GACGAACGCUGGCGGCGUGCUUAACACAUGCAAGUCGAACGGAAAGGCCCUGCUUGCAGGGUACUCGAGUGGCGAACGGGUGAGUAACACGUGGGUGAUCUGCCCUGCACUUCGGGAUAAGCCUGGGAAACUGGGUCUAAUACCGGAUAGGAGCCAUUUUGAGUGUUAUGGUUGGAAAGUUUUUUCGGUGUAGGAUGAGCUCGCGGCCUAUCAGCUUGUUGGUGGGGUAAUGGCCUACCAAGGCGGCGACGGGUAGCCGGCCUGAGAGGGUGGACGGCCACAUUGGGACUGAGAUACGGCCCAGACUCCUACGGGAGGCAGCAGUGGGGAAUAUUGCACAAUGGGCGCGAGCCUGAUGCAGCGACGCCGCGUGGGGGAUGACGGCCUUCGGGUUGUAAACUCCUUUCGCUAGGGACGAAGCUUUUUGUGACGGUACCUAGAUAAGAAGCACCGGCUAACUACGUG
This 465-nucleotide ribosomal RNA is filed under the name uncultured bacterium. RNAcentral describes it as "partial 16S ribosomal RNA". It matches the Rfam family "Bacterial small subunit ribosomal RNA", at positions 28 to 507 of the family's 1533-position model. The record is from RNAcentral.